RNAcentral lists this ribosomal RNA (951 nucleotides) under uncultured rumen archaeon. RNAcentral describes it as "bacterial SSU rRNA". The stretch from base 3 to 764 matches the Rfam family "Archaeal small subunit ribosomal RNA", at positions 4 to 828 of the family's 1478-position model. The record is from RNAcentral.
UUCUGUUUGAUCCCUGGGGACGCUACUGGUAUUGGGGUUCGAUUAAAUCAUGCAAGUUGAACUAUUCUUCGGAAUCAUGCCAAACCGCUCCCUAUCACGUGUAUAACCUACCCUUAUGACCUGUAUAGCCCUGGGAAACUGGGGACAAUCCCUGAUAGGUGAUUUUUUCUGUACAUGAUUUUUCAUUUUGAUGCUCCUGCGCCUGAGGAUGGUUCUGCAGCAGAUUAGAUGCCUGGUACGGUAAUGCUCUACCACGCCUGUGAUCUGUACAGGUUGUGAGAACACGACCCCGGAGAUGGAACCUGACACAAGGUUCCGUGGCGUACACGCCGCACCAGGCGCCAAACCUCCGCAAUGCCAUAAAUCCCGACGGUUGGACUCCCUUUGCUUCUCUUAACGGGGUGGCUUUUCUUAUUUGUAAAAAGCUUUUGGAAUAAGGGCUGGCUAAGACCUGUGCAUUCCGCGGUGUAAACACCCUCAGCUCUAGUGAUAGCCAUUUUUAUUGUGGCUCAAGCGUUCGUACCCCGUUUGAUUAGACUCUGGUGAAAUCCUGUACCUUAGCUGCGGGAAUUGCUGGAGAUACACUCAUACUCGAGGUCGGAAGACGUUAACGCCACUCCCAGGGUAUGCGUGAGAUCCUGUAAGCAUGUUACGACUCCUGUCGCUAGGCUGCUACUGGCACGAUCUCGACGUUAGCACGAAUCUAGGGCGCGUACCGAUACAUCUCGGGAGCCUGUUCUACUACGAGACUGCGUUGCCGCUCAACUGUCAUGCGAGGACUGUAGACCUCUGGUAUUGCAAACUAACUAGCAUGCGGACACCCCAUGUCUGUUAUGAUAGCGAAUCACUCGAGCCUAUCUUGAACUCUCAGUAGACGAGCCGAUAACGAGCUGGCGAGUACAUAUCGGCAGGAGACGAAGCUCAAUAUAUGGGUUAUCGAGACCUCUAUAU